Molecule: ribosomal RNA, 407 nt
Filed under: uncultured microorganism
Description: bacterial SSU rRNA
Rfam family: Bacterial small subunit ribosomal RNA
Source: RNAcentral
CAGCAGCCGCGGUAAUACGUAGGGGGCGAGCGUUACCCGGAUUCACUGGGCGUAAAGGGGGUGUAGGCGGCUCGGUAAGUCGGGUGUGAAAUCCCACGGCUCAACCGUGGAAUUGCGCCCGAAACUGCCGAGCUUGGGGCCGGUAGAGGGAGACGGAACUGCCGGUGUAGGGGUGAAAUCCGUAGAUAUCGGCAGGAACGCCGGUGGGGAAGCCGGCCUCCUGGGCCGCGCCCGACGCUGAGGCCCGAAAGCUAGGGGAGCAAACCGGAUUAGAUACCCGGGUAGUCCUAGCCGUAAACGAUGCCCACUAGGUGUGGGGGAGUAUUUCCUCCGUGCUGUAGCUAACGCGUUAAGUGGGCCGCCUGGGGAGUACGCCCGCAAGGGUGAAACUUAAAGGAAUUGGCGGG